CCGUUCCUUGUCUAUGUUCCUUGGAACAGGACGUCAUAGAGGGUGAGAAUCCCGUGUGGCGAGGAGUGCGGUUCUUUGUAAAGUGCCUUCGAAGAGUCGAGUUGUUUGGGAAUGCAGCUCUAAGUGGGUGGUAAAUUCCAUCUAAAGCUAAAUAUUGGCGAGAGACCGAUAGCGAACAAGUACAGUGAUGGAAAGAUGAAAAGAACUUUGAAAAGAGAGUGAAAAAGUACGUGAAAUUGUUGAAAGGGAAGGGCAUUUGAUCAGACAUGGUGUUUUGUGCCCUCUGCUCCUUGUGGGUAGGGGAAUCUCGCAUUUCACUGGGCCAGCAUCAGUUUUGGUGGCAGGAUAAAUCCAUAGGAAUGUAGCUUGCCUCGGUAAGUAUUAUAGCCUGUGGGAAUACUGCCAGCUGGGACUGAGGACUGCGACGUAAGUCAAGGAUGCUGGCAUAAUGGUUAUAUGCCGCCCGUCUUGAAACACGGACCAAGGAGUCUAACGUCUAUGCGAGUGUUUGGGUGUAAAACCCAUACGCGUAAUGAAAGUGAACGUAGGUUGGGGCCUCGCAAGAGGUGCACAAUCG
This 577-nucleotide ribosomal RNA is filed under the name Saccharomyces cerevisiae (brewer's yeast). RNAcentral's name for it is "eukaryotic LSU rRNA". It matches the Rfam family "Eukaryotic large subunit ribosomal RNA", at positions 170 to 763 of the family's 3401-position model. Lineage: Eukaryota; Fungi; Ascomycota; Saccharomycetes; Saccharomycetales; Saccharomycetaceae. The record is from RNAcentral.